AUUGAACGCUGGCGGCAGGCCUAACACAUGCAAGUCGAACGAGUGGCGGACGGGUGAGUAAUGCUUGUGAAUCUAGCUGAUGGAGGGGGAUAACUACGGGGAACUGUAGCUAAUACCGCCUACAAUAGGCUGGGCCCAAGUGGGAUUAGGUAGUUGGUGGGGUAAAGGCGUACCAAGCCGACGAUCUCUACCUGGUCUGAGAGGAUGACCAGCCACACUGGGACUUAGACACGGCCCAGGCUCCUACGGGAGGCAGCAGUGGGGAAUAUUGCGCAAUGGGGGAAACCUGACGCAGCCAUGCCGCGUGAAUGAAGAAGGCCUUCGGGUUGUAAAGUUCUUUAGGUAGCGAGGCGUUAACUACAGAAGAAGCACCGGCUAACUCCGUGCCAGCAGCCGCGGUAAUAC
This 405-nucleotide ribosomal RNA is filed under the name uncultured bacterium. Its description in RNAcentral is "partial 16S ribosomal RNA". It matches the Rfam family "Bacterial small subunit ribosomal RNA", at positions 30 to 526 of the family's 1533-position model. The record is from RNAcentral.